AACGAACGCUGGCGGCAGGCUUAACACAUGCAAGUCGAGCGCCCCGCAAGGGGAGCGGCAGACGGGUGAGUAACGCGUGGGAAUCUACCCUGAACUACGGAACAGCUCCGGGAAACUGGAAUUAAUACCGUAUGUGUCCUGAGGGACAAAGGUUUACCGGUUCAGGAUGAGCCCGCGUUGGAUUAGCUAGUUGGUGGGGUAACGGCCUACCAAGGCGACGAUCCAUAGCUGGUCUGAGAGGAUGAUCAGCCACAUUGGGACUGAGACACGGCCCAAACUCCUACGGGAGGCAGCAGUGGGGAAUAUUGGACAAUGGGCGCAAGCCUGAUCCAGCCAUGCCGCGUGAGUGAUGAAGGUCUUAGGAUUGUAAAGCUCUUUCGCUGGGGACGAUAAUGACGGUACCCGGAGAAGAAGCCCCGGCUAACUUCGUGCCAGCCGCCGCAGUAACAC
This 450-nucleotide ribosomal RNA is filed under the name uncultured bacterium. RNAcentral describes it as "bacterial SSU rRNA". It matches the Rfam family "Bacterial small subunit ribosomal RNA", at positions 29 to 526 of the family's 1533-position model. The record is from RNAcentral.